AUACGGAGGAUGCGAGCGUUAUCCGGAUUUAUUGGGUUUAAAGGGAGCGUAGGUGGGAUAUUAAGUCAGCUGUGAAAGUUUGGGGCUCAACCUUAAAAUUGCAGUUGAUACUGGUUUCCUUGAGUACGGUACAGGUGGGCGGAAUUCGUGGUGUAGCGGUGAAAUGCUUAGAUAUCACGAAGAACUCCGAUCGCGAAGGCAGCUCAACGGGCCGGAACUGACGCUGAUGCUCGAAAGUGCGGGUAUCAAACAGGAUUAGAUACCCUGGUAGUCCGCACAGUAAACGAUGAAUACUCGCUGUUUGCGAUACACUGUAAGCGGCCAAGCGAAAGCGUUAAGUAUUCCACCUGGGGAGUACGCCGUCAACGGUGAAACUCAAAGGAAUUGACGGGG
RNAcentral lists this ribosomal RNA (393 nucleotides) under uncultured bacterium. RNAcentral's name for it is "partial 16S ribosomal RNA". It matches the Rfam family "Bacterial small subunit ribosomal RNA", at positions 523 to 918 of the family's 1533-position model. The record is from RNAcentral.